Molecule: long non-coding RNA, 2583 nt
Organism: Protopterus annectens (West African lungfish)
Lineage: Eukaryota; Metazoa; Chordata; Ceratodontiformes; Protopteridae
Exons: 3
Source: RefSeq, a predicted model, not a curated record
AGCAUAAGGAUCGAACCGGAGAACAUGUUGCUGUGAGGCGACAACGCUAACGGGUGCACCACCGGGGCCGCCAUUAAUACUGUUUAAUAGUAACAUUAAAUUAGAUGUUCCAUACUACUGUCUGAACUUUGCAAAACAGUGAACUACUUACUUGUCUUUGCCCUCUACCAGUCUGACAUGCUGACUGGAGUACAUUGUUAAAAACAGGAAAAAAACGCUGCGAAGAUAUCGCAGUAACUUACGUCUCAAUACAACUGUUCAUAUAGUAGUUGAACUUCAUCAGAACAGUAACAGAUAACAUAACACUUUUGUACACAAACUCAUUCCUUGCCCAAAUUUAAAAAAAAAAAAAAAAACAGACGUCAUUAGAGUCCCUCUGAAAUAAUACCCAAACCAUUUCAUACGAGACACAGCACCUCUGAAAUACAUAAAGCUACAUAACAUUCAAAAAAUAGUGAAAAUACACAUUUUAAAUCCAUAUAAAUUGAUUAGCUAUAUAUCUGAACUACAUGUGUGUACAUAUACACACGACAACAUUCCGGGUAUUAACUACAUUUUAAAUGAAAGUCAGUGGUCAGAACAGUACUACAUUUGCGUACAAAACAUAAUUUAUGGCUAUACAUCAUGGUUUGAAACACGUUUAGUUUUCAAAAGAAAUUUCGUAUAUAUACAGUUACUUUUUAGUUUUACUACUUCCCAUCACUCCCACUGGCUUUGCCAACAUAAUUAGCGUUAGAAACGUAGUUUGCUAUUUACGUCGAAGUCGUAAAAAGGUAGCCCGUUUCUUUUCUCAGCCAUCGUGGUAAUUAUCUGAACUGGCAGGAAAUUGCGUGCAAGGUCCUUCAUUCUUUCUUUCCGGUAGGUCCGCCAUAUUACAGGAAGAAAUUCAAGUUGAAGCUCUGAAUGGUUUGAAUGGAGCUCCAAAGUUCAUAGACAGAUUAGUACUAGGCUAGCUGCCCUUGUGGGCCAUUUUAAGCCUAGCCAAUUACCCCAUGUGAGAAUCAAACCCUGCACCUUGUGUUUGUAAGCGGCAGUCUGAGACAUGGCUACUGAACAAGUGCUGGAUAUUGAACAUGAUUAUAUUCUGACUGGUGAGGUGAAUACUGGAACUUUAAAUCCAAUUGGCGGCUGCUUUGCCUGGAAUGAGGCGCAGCCUAACGUCGGAUUCCUUAUCUGAAAGGUUUGAAAAGUAUUUGAAGACUUUAGAAGUUUGGGGAGAGGAUUCCCGCCAGCUUGAAGGUGAUGUUUCUGUUGUAACGGAUGACAUGGAAGUUCUACAGUCUCAUUUAGAUGCACUAGAAAAGGAUUUUUUGCGUUACAAACGUUUGCAAAUGCAAUGCCUGCACUUUGAAGCCUGUCUUGAAAGUAACAUUGUGCCUAGGGGACUGUGCGUCUUAAAUAUGCCGAGCCAAGGUUCUCUGUACCCAGAGUUAACAGGUUGGCAGAAAUUUAAUUUGGAGGCGAGUGCUGGUUAUAUGAAGCUCCUAUUGAUUUCUUUAAACCUGAGGAGGAGCGGUUGCAAGCUAGUUUAAUACGGAAACAAACAACUUUUUAAUCUUUAUCGAGUGAAUGUCCAAUAACCUCUCAGAGAGGACCAUGGACAGUGUUGCCAUAUUUGAACAGAAACUUGUAGAACAAAAACGAACAAAAAUUAUUAGACACACUUCGGACUUUAAAGCAGGCCAUGUGUUUUUGUGGCCUCGUACUGGACAUUCUAUUGACAAUGUUUUGCAGACUCCUAGGAGAGAUGUUAUGAAAAUAAAUAAUGUUUUAGCCUGUGAGGAUGUCAAUACUAAUAGUUUGCAUGUAGCUCAGGGUCCUGAUAGUGAUGACCCUUGAGCAUGAAUGGGGAAAAAGGUUUAUUGGUAAUAAGGGUAGUAUUGCUUCUAACCCUAUAGAUACAACUGACACUGUUACAUGUGCUGCUAAUGUGAAUGAUGCCUCUAGUAAUGGUGAAGAACGGAUGGGAUAAUUAGGAGGACAGGGUUGCCUGAGAGGAAUGGUUGUAAUUGGAAGGGAUAGUUCUGGAGCGAGUGACUGUGUAGUUAGACCCAAGGCCAAUGUCAAGCAUGUUAAUAUGGUUGUGUCCUCAGUAUGUUACCAGAAUGGAGUUGAUGGUCAACUCCCUUUUCUGCUACCUGUCCGAGUGGACAGGGGAGGGGGGAGAGGCAAGUCCAACAGCAGGAACAGGCACAAAAGAAAACUGUCAGGGGAAUCGUUUCCGAAUCAAGCCAUCAAGAAGAUGUGGGGCAAGAUACAACCUCGCUAAUUUAUAAUAUUUCUAACCAUUAUUUGACUAUAGAAAUACAGAAUGUAUUACAUAAAGGUUUAAACUUUAUUCCUACUCGUCCGAGCAGUUUGGCAAAUACUGUAUUAGACCUGAAGAUUUUUUGUAGGGAUGUUAUGUUUUUUGGUAGUAAUGUUGGUAGUGGAGAAGGAGACGCUAGCCAGGAUAUAUAUCUGAGAAGACCCAGAAGUUAUACACCUUCUAAUCAUCCAUUAGUUGAGGCUUAUUGAAAGUUGACAAGAUGAGAUUUUUCAUUUUUAUGAAAAGAGGACAUCUACCCUGAAUAAAACCCUGAG